UCUUCCCUCUGGCUUCGUGCCUAAUACAUGCCAGUCGAGCGAACGGACGAGGAGCUUGCUCCUCUGACGUUAGCGGCGGACGGGUGAGUAACACGUGGAUAACCUACCUAUAAGACUGGGAUAACUUCGGGAAACCGGAGCUAAUACCGGAUAAUAUAUUGAACCGCAUGGUUCAAUAGUGAAAGACGGUUUUGCUGUCACUUAUAGAUGGAUCCGCGCCGCAUUAGCUAGUUGGUAAGGUAACGGCUUACCAAGGCAACGAUGCGUAGCCGACCUGAGAGGGUGAUCGGCCACACUGGAACUGAGACACGGUCCAGACUCCUACGGGAGGCAGCAGUAGGGAAUCUUCCGCAAUGGGCGAAAGCCUGACGGAGCAACGCCGCGUGAGUGAUGAAGGUCUUCGGAUCGUAAAACUCUGUUAUUAGGGAAGAACAAAUGUGUAAGUAACUAUGCACGUCUUGACGGUACCUAAUCAGAAAGCCACGGCUAACUACGUG
RNAcentral lists this ribosomal RNA (497 nucleotides) under uncultured bacterium. RNAcentral describes it as "partial 16S ribosomal RNA". It matches the Rfam family "Bacterial small subunit ribosomal RNA", at positions 36 to 507 of the family's 1533-position model. The record is from RNAcentral.